AUUGAACGCUGGCGGCAGGCUUAACACAUGCAAGUCGAGCGAGCGGCGGACGGGUGAGUAAUGUCUGGGAAACUGCCUGAUGGAGGGGGAUAACUACUGGAAACGGUAGCUAAUACCGCAUACCAUCAGAUGUGCCCAGAUGGGAUUAGCUAGUAGGUGGGGUAAUGGCGCACCUCGGCGACGAUCCCUAGCUGGUCUGAGAGGAUGACCAGCCACACUGGAACUGAGACACGGUCCGGACUCCUACGGUAGGCAGCAGUGGGGAAUAUUGCACAAUGGGGGCAAGCCUGAUGCAGCCAUGCCGCGUGUAUGAAGAAGGCCUUAGGGUUGUAAAGUACUUUCAGCGAGGAGGCGUUACCCACAGAAGAAGCACCGGCUAACUCCGUGCCAGCCGCCGCGGUAAUUC
RNAcentral lists this ribosomal RNA (406 nucleotides) under uncultured bacterium. RNAcentral describes it as "partial 16S ribosomal RNA". It matches the Rfam family "Bacterial small subunit ribosomal RNA", at positions 30 to 526 of the family's 1533-position model. The record is from RNAcentral.